Molecule: ribosomal RNA, 1049 nt
Filed under: Salmonella enterica subsp. enterica
Lineage: Bacteria; Pseudomonadati; Pseudomonadota; Gammaproteobacteria; Enterobacterales; Enterobacteriaceae
Also listed under: 1 other name
Description: partial 23S ribosomal RNA
Rfam family: Bacterial large subunit ribosomal RNA
Source: RNAcentral
UCGUCACACUAUCAUUAACUGAAUCCAUAGGUUAAUGAGGCGAACCGGGGGAACUGAAACAUCUAAGUACCCCGAGGAAAAGAAAUCAACCGAGAUUCCCCCAGUAGCGGCGAGCGAACGGGGAGGAGCCCAGAGCCUGAAUCAGCAUGUGUGUUAGUGGAAGCGUCUGGAAAGGCGCGCGAUACAGGGUGACAGCCCCGUACACAAAAGCGCAUGUGCUGUGAGCUCGAUGAGUAGGGCGGGACACGUGGUAUCCUGUCUGAAUAUGGGGGGACCAUCCUCCAAGGCUAAAUACUCCUGACUGACCGAUAGUGAACCAGUACCGUGAGGGAAAGGCGAAAAGAACCCCGGCGAGGGGAGUGAAAAAGAACCUGAAACCGUGUACGUACAAGCAGUGGGAGCACCCUUUGGGUGUGACUGCGUACCUUUUGUAUAAUGGGUCAGCGACUUAUAUUCUGUAGCAAGGUUAACCGAAUAGGGGAGCCGGAGGGAAACCGAGUCUUAACCGGGCGUUAAGUUGCAGGGUAUAGACCCGAAACCCGGUGAUCUAGCCAUGGGCAGGUUGAAGGUUGGGUAACACUAACUGGAGGACCGAACCGACUAAUGUUGAAAAAUUAGCGGAUGACCUGUGGCUGGGGGUGAAAGGCCAAUCAAACCGGGAGAUAGCUGGUUCUCCCCGAAAGCUAUUUAGGUAGCGCCUCGUGAAUUCAUCUCCGGGGGUAGAGCACUGUUUCGGCUAGGGGGCCAUCCCGGCUUACCAACCCGAUGCAAACUGCGAAUACCGGAGAAUGUUAUCACGGGAGACACACGGCGGGUGCUAACGUCCGUCGUGAAGAGGGAAACAACCCAGACCGCCAGCUAAGGUCCCAAAGUCAUGGUUAAGUGGGAAACGAUGUGGGAAGGCCCAGACAGCCAGGAUGUUGGCUUAGAAGCAGCCAUCAUUUAAAGAAAGCGUAAUAGCUCACUGGUCGAGUCGGCCUGCGCGGAAGAUGUAACGGGGCUAAACCAUGCACCGAAGCUGCGGCAGCGACACUGUGUGUUGUUGGGUA